Molecule: ribosomal RNA, 253 nt
Filed under: uncultured bacterium
Lineage: Bacteria
Description: partial 16S ribosomal RNA
Rfam family: Bacterial small subunit ribosomal RNA
Source: RNAcentral
UACAGAGGUCCCGAGCGUUGUUCGGAUUCACUGGGCGUAAAGCGCACGUAGGCGGAUUUGUAAGUCAGGGGUGAAAUCCCGGGGCUCAACCUCGGAACUGCCUUUGAUACUGCAAAUCUCGAGUCCGGAAGAGGUGAGUGGAAUUCCUAGUGUAGAGGUGAAAUUCGUAGAUAUUAGGAAGAACACCAGUGGCGAAGGCGGCUCACUGGUCCGGUACUGACGCUGAGGUGCGAAAGCGUGGGGAGCAAACAGG